Molecule: long non-coding RNA, 1335 nt
Organism: Myxocyprinus asiaticus (Chinese sucker)
Lineage: Eukaryota; Metazoa; Chordata; Actinopteri; Cypriniformes; Catostomidae
Exons: 3
Source: RefSeq, a predicted model, not a curated record
UGAGAGACACAUGGCCAUAAUUGGAGAGACUGGACACUGUGAACUCCUGACUUGACAUGAACAAUAGGUAAAGUUAAUAAAAAAGUGUGAAAAAGUUAAGACUGCAAUACAUCAGGGGCCUGGGUAGCUCAGCGAGUACUGACGCUGACUACCACCCCUGGAGUCGUGAGUUCGAAUCCAGGGUGUGCUGAGUGACUCCAGCCAGGUCUCCUAAGCAAUGAAAUUGGCCCGGUUGCUAGACAGGUUAGAGUCACAUGGGGUAACCUCCUUGUGGUCGUGAUUAGUGGUUCUCGCUCUCAAUGGGGCGCUUGGCAAGAUGUGCAUGGAUCGCAGAGAGUAGCAUGAGUCUCCACAUGCUGUGAGUCUCCGCGGUGUCAUGCACAACGAGCCACGUGAUAAGAUAGGCAGAUUGACUGUCUCAGAAGUGGAGGCAACUGGGACUUGUCCUCCGCCACCUGGAUUGAGGUGAGUAACCGCGUCACCACGAGGACCUGCUAAGUAGUGGGAAUUGGACAUUCCAAAUUGGGAGAAAGGGGGAUAAAAACAAAAUAAAAAAAAGAGACUGCAAUCCAUCUAGUGAGGCAACUUUAAAAGACAGUGAUGUAUUUUGGAUCAAAGUCACCCAGUCAGUAAAGAAUUACAAAGUCAUGCCUAUCUUACUGCAAGUCUGCUCUGAUAUUGACACGGAGAUGUUGCAUUAAAAAUAUACUGUCUGAUAUAGGCUAAAAAGAAGUCUCCUAAUAACAAGUCACCAAAUGCUCUGUCAUUUUAUUGGGUAAUAAAAAAACACCAGCUUUUCCAAAAACUAGCCUUUUGACUGGGUAGGUACCGAACUAAAAUUAGCUAUAAUUCACACAGGGACCAACCAGUGUAUCCAGAUACCAUUUAAAAACAAACACGAACUCAAAUCAGUGACAAGCAAAAUACAUUGGUAUAAUGUAACAACAGCAUGUUGCCAAAUAGCGAAACAUAAUAGGCUGUGACUCAAACCCCAGUGAGCUGCCAGCAUUUUUGGACAGACAGAUGCGUCUAAACCGCUGCUAAUUGAGUGCUUGAAUCAUCUGCUUCUGUCUGAAUGUUUGUGUUCCUCGUCACAACUGGCUGAAUAUUUGCAUCUGUCUCUGCGAUUGGCUGCUCGGGUGUUCGCAACGCGUCUGUGAUGCCCCAGAAUUCUGUCUAGGACAUGUUAAAAAUAUUAUAAGUCAUGCCGGUCAAGCUGAAGGACUUGGGCCGGGCCAGGGUGGACAAUAACGGGGUGGACAUUCAGUGGAUAAAUUAGCCCUACAUGGGUGGGCAUGCUAUGCUUGACCACAUGAGCAACUUCACAAAAUAAAG